Molecule: ribosomal RNA, 1315 nt
Filed under: Kribbella sp.
Lineage: Bacteria; Bacillati; Actinomycetota; Actinomycetes; Propionibacteriales; Kribbellaceae
Description: bacterial SSU rRNA
Rfam family: Bacterial small subunit ribosomal RNA
Source: RNAcentral
GCGGCGAACGGGUGAGUAACACGUGAGCAACCUACCCUCAACUUCGGGAUAAGCCUCGGAAACGGGGUCUAAUACCGGAUAUCACUCCUUGCCUCAUGGUUUGGGGUUGAAAGUUCUGGCGGUUGGGGAUGGGCUCGCGGCCUAUCAGCUUGUUGGUGGGGUAAUGGCCUACCAAGGCGUCGACGGGUAGCCGGCCUGAGAGGGCGACCGGCCACACUGGGACUGAGACACGGCCCAGACUCCUACGGGAGGCAGCAGUGGGGAAUAUUGCGCAAUGGACGAAAGUCUGACGCAGCAACGCCGCGUGAGGGAUGACGGCCUUCGGGUUGUAAACCUCUUUCAGCAGGGACGAAGCGAGAGUGACGGUACCUGCAGAAGAAGGACCGGCCAACUACGUGCCAGCAGCCGCGGUAAUACGUAGGGUCCGAGCGUUGUCCGGAAUUAUUGGGCGUAAAGGGCUCGUAGGCGGUUCGUCACGUCGGGAGUGAAAACUCGGAGCUCAACUCCGAGCCUGCUUCCGAUACGGGCAGACUAGAGGUAGGCAGGGGAGAGCGGAACUCCUGGUGUAGCGGUGGAAUGCGCAGAUAUCAGGAAGAACACCGGUGGCGAAGGCGGCUCUCUGGGCCUUACCUGACGCUGAGGAGCGAAAGCGUGGGUAGCGAACAGGAUUAGAUACCCUGGUAGUCCACGCCGUAAACGUUGGGCGCUAGGUGUGGGGGACAUUCCACGUCCUCCGUGCCGCAGCUAACGCAUUAAGCGCCCCGCCUGGGGAGUACGGCCGCAAGGCUAAAACUCAAAGGAAUUGACGGGGGCCCGCACAAGCGGCGGAGCAUGCGGAUUAAUUCGAUGCAACGCGAAGAACCUUACCUGGGUUUGACAUAUAGGGAAAUCUCGCAGAGAUGCGGGGUCCGUAAGGGUCCUAUACAGGUGGUGCAUGGCUGUCGUCAGCUCGUGUCGUGAGAUGUUGGGUUAAGUCCCGCAACGAGCGCAACCCUCGUCCUAUGUUGCCAGCACGUUAUGGUGGGGACUCAUAGGAGACUGCCGGGGUCAACUCGGAGGAAGGUGGGGAUGACGUCAAGUCAUCAUGCCCCUUAUGUCCAGGGCUUCACGCAUGCUACAAUGGCCGGUACAAAGGGCUGCGAAACUGCAAAGUGGAGCGAAUCCCAAAAAGCCGGUCUCAGUUCGGAUUGGGGUCUGCAACUCGACCCCAUGAAGUCGGAGUCGCUAGUAAUCGCAGAUCAGCAACGCUGCGGUGAAUACGUUCCCGGGCCUUGUACACACCGCCCGUCACGUCAUGAAAGUCGGCAACACCCGA